Molecule: unclassified non-coding RNA, 242 nt
Filed under: Hevea brasiliensis (rubber tree)
Lineage: Eukaryota; Viridiplantae; Streptophyta; Magnoliopsida; Malpighiales; Euphorbiaceae
Source: RNAcentral
GCCGGCAGCGGGUGGUGUCGAUGUCUUCGAUGCGCAGCAGCAACCGCCCGCCACUUUGCCGGGCGAGAUCGAAGUUCAGCAGCGCCGAGCGCGCAUGUCCAAGAUGAAGAAAUCCAUUCNNNNNCGAAACGGAAAACGGGUGGCGGCAUGGUUCGAUCCUGUUCGACGCAUCGUGCCCCGGCAAUUGCACUCGCGUCCGAUUCCCUUCAUGCUCACAAAACCAAUGACAGUCCAUCUCAACA